RNAcentral lists this ribosomal RNA (406 nucleotides) under uncultured bacterium. RNAcentral describes it as "partial 16S ribosomal RNA". It matches the Rfam family "Bacterial small subunit ribosomal RNA", at positions 30 to 526 of the family's 1533-position model. The record is from RNAcentral.
AUUGAACGCUGGCGGCAGGCCUAACACAUGCAAGUCGAACGAGUGGCGGACGGGUGAGUCAUGUCUGGGAAACUGCCCGAUGGAGGGGGAUAACUACUGGACACGGUAGCUAAUACCGCAUACCAUCGGAUGUGCCAAGAUGGGAUUAGCUAGUAGGUGGGGUAACGGCUCACCUAGGCGACGAGCCCGAGCUGGUCUGAGAGGAUGACCAGCCACACUGGAACUGAGAAACGGUCCAGACUCCUACGGGAGGCAGCAGUGGGGAAUAUUGCACAAGGGGCGCAAGCCUGAUGCAGCCAUGCCGCGUGUAUGAAGAAGGCCUUCGGGUUGUAAAGUACUUUCAGCGAGGAGGCGUUACUCACAGAAGAAGCACCGGCUAACUCCGUGCCAGCAGCCGCGGUAAUAC